This 274-nucleotide ribosomal RNA is filed under the name uncultured bacterium. Its description in RNAcentral is "partial 16S ribosomal RNA". It matches the Rfam family "Bacterial small subunit ribosomal RNA", at positions 523 to 796 of the family's 1533-position model. The record is from RNAcentral.
AUACGGGGGGUGCAAGCGUUACUCGGAAUCACUGGGCGUAAAGCGCGCGCAGGCGGGCUGAUAAGUUGGAUGUGAAAGCCUACGGCUCAACCGUAGAACUGCAUCCAAAACUGUCAGUCUAGAGUCUGGGAGGGGAAGAUGGAAUUAGUUGUGUAGGGGUAAAAUCCGUAGAGAUAACUAGGAAUACCAAAAGCGAAGGCGAUCUUCUGGAACAGUACUGACGCUGAGGCGCGAAAGCGUGGGGAGCAAACAGGAUUAGAUACCCUAGUAGUCC